UCCUCAGACCUUGCUUCCCUCCUCUUUUCUCACUGUAGGGAAACAGGAACUCAUGUUUAUUCAUAAGAUGGACUGGGAUCACACCCAAGGCAAUAUCAAACCUUUACCUUUUCUGGGCUUGGGAGGAUGUGCAAGGAUCAAGGACAAGCU
This is an unclassified non-coding RNA of Vulpes vulpes (red fox), 150 nucleotides long. NCBI's taxonomy places the organism in Eukaryota, Metazoa, Chordata, Mammalia, Carnivora, Canidae. The record is from Ensembl.